UGGGGUGUAGCUCAUUGGUAGAGCACUUGCCUAGCAUGCCCAGGCCCCGAGUUCAAUCCCCAGCACCACAA
This 71-nucleotide transfer RNA is filed under the name Ictidomys tridecemlineatus (thirteen-lined ground squirrel). RNAcentral describes it as "Spermophilus tridecemlineatus (thirteen-lined ground squirrel) tRNA". It matches the Rfam family "tRNA". Rfam says of the family: Transfer RNA (tRNA) molecules are approximately 80 nucleotides in length. Their secondary structure includes four short double-helical elements and three loops (D, anti-codon, and T loops). The record is from Rfam by way of RNAcentral. Lineage: Eukaryota; Metazoa; Chordata; Mammalia; Rodentia; Sciuridae.